UUCCCCUUCUGAGAUUUCUACCAUUUGUGUAGUGAUGGAGCUGAAGACGGUAACGUUAACCCAGGCGAACGGUUUCUGCAUCAUACCCGUAUUCCCUUUCGAAAGCCAGCAACAGGACCCCGACCAUGCCUCCACCCAUCUGUCCUCCUCAAACCUGAACCCAGAUCAGCAGAGUGUGACCCCGAUGACCCACACAUCAGGAAGCUCAGCAGACAAGUCCAGUGUCUGACAAAACUUCUCGGUACGGCCUGGAUCCUCAGCUUCUACGCAGUGUGGUCCAUGUGAUUAAAGAGGACAGGAUCCAGUAGGAGGGGAAAUCUUCAGUUCCCCGUCUCUGCUCAACACAAUGCACCCUGGAGGACAGAGCGUGAUGUGCCAGUUUGAGGCUGAAGAUUGUGUUAAGGGCUUUGCACACUGCGGGGCCUUCAUGAUCCCUGCUAUGAGCUAGCAGGACUGCAGGCAAAGAUUCUACUGUCCUUUCUGCUACAAACUCACAGAAUUGCCAUGGCAGCAGAAAAGAAACCUGAGAUCAGUCUUGGCCCAUAUGAUACUGCAAAAACAGGAAUGGCGUGAAUUUGUUUUGAACUUUAAUUUUUCUCUUGUUUUAUACUAUGUAUUGUAAUACAAACAACUAAUUCAAAGCAUGAUCAUGUUUUGUUUUUAUUUUAAAAUAUACACUACAGUAUAUAUUUAUCUGUCCAAAAGAAGUUAAAUAAAAUGCAUCUAUCUAUAAUAAAAAGUGCCUCACAUGGUUCCGUAGAGUGAACAAAGGCUUCCUGAAUCGAUACGUUUUUGUAAGAAAAAUAACCAUAUUUAAAACGUAAUAAUCAGUUUAAUCUAGCUUUUGUUCACUGUUGUACACGGAAGCAGCUCCAGGCGAAGACAUAUGAGGUUGGAAAGUGACGAACACAGAAUCGCAGGGUGAAGAAUAAAAAAACAAAACAACGGUCAUGAAUUAGUAUGAAUUAUAUGAAGUACAAAACAAGGAUUUGUAAAGAAGACUGUCAGAGGAUUUCGAUAUAAGCCAAGAGGAGACUGGUUUUCCUUUGCUAAAGUAAGGAAACUUUAGCCCCUUUCACACUGCACGUGGGUCCCGGAAAAUUGCCGGGUCGCCUUCUAUGUGAAUGCAAACAGGUCCCGGGUUUGAUCCCAGCUUGGGGACCUAGUAGCAUUGCCGGGUUCAAUCCUGGAACGAGUUCUGUGUGAACAAAAGGCAGAAAUAAUGCCAUAAAGGGUGUGUCGUAAUGAUGACGCAUGCUAUCGUGCGACUCUUUUAAUAGGUGUUUUGAAGGCAGAUCAACAUUCGCGAUGAAAAAAAGAUGUGCAAACUGUAAUGAAGCAGAGAUCAGUUAGCUCAUCACUAUCCACGCUUAAGCUGAGAUCGUUUGCCAGCUUAAGUGAAAGUUAACGUGAACUAGCGUUUUCGACUCGUAGUUUAGAAGAUCAUAGUGAAGAAUUAUCGUUAUAGCAAGAGGCAAAAGGUUACCAAUAGUCCUUUCUUCUUGGGCAGAGUUCUACAGGAAAUUUCACUUUUCAACCCUGAAUCGGAAGAUAGAUCCAGCUCACAAGAGCUUCCUGUUUCUGCAGGACUGAAGAUUCUUCAGGCAAGAGCCUUAAUAUGAGUCUUAAACAUGCAUGUGCUCUUGCUGAAAAAUUCUACAUCUGUGCUGCAUGCCUCACCUUGUUUCUGAAAGCACAAAUCAGAAAAACUCCUCUGGUUUCUUCAGCUCUAGCAAAGUGAAGGUGAUUUAAAGAGCAUGUAUUAUUUUCCACAAUAUUAGCCAUAAAGGUAGUUUUGAGGUUUAUAUAAAAGUUUCCUCUUGGUUUCAUGUUAGUCCAUCUUCCAAGGACCAGAUUCCUCGAUCUCAUUGGCUAAAGAGUGCUGCAGUGUGCACAUCUUUGUGUUCUCCCAUCAGGAAGUAGGCGGGGCUUUGCCAGGGCACAUCCCCUUUCUCACAGGGGGUGGUGUCAUCUGCUAUAACAGACUACAGGUAAUAAAUGCCAUCUGCACUCAGUCAACAUCAGUAACACCCUCAUGUCCUAUUACAUCAGAUGUAGAAAACCUUAGAGCCCAGUUUCUCUAAAACUGCUUUACAGAUUUGAAAUUUCAAAACAACCCUAUGGCUGCCUCGAGAAUUAGCCUGGAAUGUCAUAAUGGUUGGUACUUGUUAAAAGUCUCUGCUGCUAAUACAAGGUUUUUCUAGACAUCUUAUUAACUGAAAGUGUUACAAAGUUCGCCUUCCUGCUCUAUUAUCAUAGUCGCCCUGAGCAAGCCACUUUAUCCAGUG
Molecule: long non-coding RNA, 2288 nt
Organism: Carassius auratus (goldfish)
Lineage: Eukaryota; Metazoa; Chordata; Actinopteri; Cypriniformes; Cyprinidae
Exons: 5
Source: RefSeq, a predicted model, not a curated record